RNAcentral lists this long non-coding RNA (712 nucleotides) under Bos taurus (domestic cattle). RNAcentral's name for it is "long non-coding RNA NONBTAT017326". Lineage: Eukaryota; Metazoa; Chordata; Mammalia; Artiodactyla; Bovidae. The record is from RNAcentral.
CUCAUUGAAUUUUUUAGUCAGGUUGGUGAAAGAUAUCACCAAGAUCACUGCAGUGUAUAUAGUCUCUAUUUUUGUAUGUAAAUGUCCGUUCAAGUAUUUUUUGCUUACAUCAUAGACUUGAGCAUAAUCCUAAAGGUAUAUCAGAAGCUUUGUUUUGGUACAAAUUCAUCAGCAUUAAACUUAAAAAAAAACAUUUGCGUCAAGAAUCACCAAUAAUUAUUUAUGACACUUUUAUGUCAAAUCUGUUGUGUUGAACCUUUAGUCAUGUUGGGAAAAUGUGGAAGAAAUUUUAGGAAAAGUAAUUGCCAUUGAAGCUAAUGUUAUAUAACCUUGAAUAUAAGAGUAAAUUAGGUAUUUUUUUUAAGAUAUGUAGUUUGGUAUAAAGUGACUUGAAAACUAUUAUUUGAUACAAAGCACUAUUAGAGUUUUUGUCAGCUGUCUCAGAUAAUAUUUCUAGUCUGUGUGAAAUUUUAUUUUUGUAGUUUUGCCUUUGUUUAUUUUCUUUAUGAAAUGUAUCAACUUUAGUGAAAUAUCAAGUGGUUAAUCAUAGCUAGAGAAGAUGCUUUGAUCAAACCAGCUAUUGACUUUUAUUUGGGGACCUGAAAAAAUGAGAGUGGUCGCACCUGUCCAGUUUUUAUCCAGUAUCUUUGGCCCAUUGCAUUCUGGCUAAAAUGACGUCAGCGUUUCAUCUGCCACCACAGUAAAACACCUU